AUAUCAAUAAGCGGAGGAAAAGAAACCAACAGGGAUUGCCUCAGUAACGGCGAGUGAAGCGGCAAAAGCUCAAAUUUGAAAUCUGGAGCCUUCGGCUUCCGAGUUGUAAUUUGAAGAGGAUGUUUCGGUUGCGGCUUGGGCCUAAGUUCCUUGGAACAGGACGUCAUGGAGGGUGAGAAUCCCGUAUAUGGCUCCCGGCUUGCUUCCAUGUGAAACUCCUUCGAAGAGUCGAGUUGUUUGGGAAUGCAGCUCAAAAUGGGUGGUAAAUUUCAUCUAAAGCUAAAUAUUGGCGAGAGACCGAUAGCGCACAAGUAGAGCGAUCGAAAGAUGAAAAGCACUUUGAAAAGAGAGUUAAACAGUACGUGAAAUUGUUGAAAGGGAAGCGCUUGCAAUCAGACUCACUUUCAGUUGAUCAACGUUCCUUCUGGUUCAUGCACUCUGCUGUUUGUGGGCCAGCAUCAGUUGGAGCGGUGGGACAAAGGCAGCAGGAAUGUGGCUCUUCGGAGUGUUAUAGCCUGCUGUGUAAUGCCACCUGUUCCGACUGAGGUCCGCGAUUCGUCUAGGAUGCUGGCUUAAUGGUUGUAAGCGA
RNAcentral lists this ribosomal RNA (589 nucleotides) under uncultured fungus. Its description in RNAcentral is "eukaryotic LSU rRNA". It matches the Rfam family "Eukaryotic large subunit ribosomal RNA", at positions 40 to 647 of the family's 3401-position model. Lineage: Eukaryota; Fungi. The record is from RNAcentral.